Long non-coding RNA from Branchiostoma floridae (Florida lancelet), 431 nucleotides. RefSeq lists it as uncharacterized. The transcript is spliced from 3 exons. NCBI's taxonomy places the organism in Eukaryota, Metazoa, Chordata, Leptocardii, Amphioxiformes, Branchiostomatidae. The record is from RefSeq and is a predicted model, not a curated record.
GUGCCCCUAGCUUUACGGAUUUCACUGUUUCCAAUGUUACCGUACGUACAGGGGCAAUCAUAGGCGGUGCAGUAGUGGUUGCAGUCGUCAUCAUCAGUUCAGCCGUCGUUGUUUCCAUCUUUAUCGUCAGAAGAUGGCGCUCCUGCAAUACUGAGGGAAAUCCAUUGGUGCCAGAACGUCAAGAAAUGGACAGGAAUAACAUAAGAGGUCCAGAUAUCUCUGAAGAUGGCGAGUAUGUGGACACUUUACCAUCUAAUGUAAACUCCCUACAGACUGGCACUGAUAACGAUGGAUACCUAAUCCCAAUUAGAGCCCCGCAACAGUCUGGCAACAGUGGCGUCGUCCUUGAGAACGCGCCACCUAGCGAGCAUCUGUAUGAAGAACUGCGGUACUAGAGCUUACAGAACGUCACCAGUGGCAGUGGUAGUGUC